AUAGAUGGCCUGGAUUAGUGCAAUGUGCAACAAGAGGACUAUAUCGUCUCAGUAAAAACCUUGAAGAGAUGAACCCAUUUCAGAGACCCAGCAAGGGAUCACCUGCAUAAUACACAGGCAUCAGCAGAAACAGGAAUUUGGGAUUUUAUCCUGAAGGUAGUGGAAGCUUUUGGAGGUCUUAACCAGGACAGCACAUGUGGCUUUCCUGCAAUGGGAUCAUCCUUCAAGAGGACCUCACAGGCUCUCCACCUGGACUGUGACGUAAGCAGCUGCAGCAGCCUUGGAUGUUUCUGGAUAGCCAGCCCCAUGAGAACAGCUUUAAAAUAGGAGACUGGCAUUGUGAUGAAGUGUGGACUUCGCUGUCAUAUAGACCUGGAUUUAAAUCCUGGCUUCAGUGUUUAUGGAUGACGUUGGACAAGUCAUUUAACCUCCUUAAGUCUCAGAGUUCUCAUUAUGGAAAUGGAGCUCUUAAUAGUACCUACCCCCUAGUGUGGUUGUGAGGGUUGAGAUCAUCUAUGUUCAAAGUGCUUAUUAUACGGAGCCUGGGACAUGUAAGUGCU
RNAcentral lists this non-coding RNA (560 nucleotides) under Pongo abelii (Sumatran orangutan). The record is from RNAcentral. Lineage: Eukaryota; Metazoa; Chordata; Mammalia; Primates; Hominidae.